This 4335-nucleotide long non-coding RNA is filed under the name Mytilus galloprovincialis (Mediterranean mussel). The record is from RNAcentral. Lineage: Eukaryota; Metazoa; Mollusca; Bivalvia; Mytilida; Mytilidae.
UUCAUGGAUAUUAUAAGCUAAUUGUUUGCAAAACUCUUUGAAUAGUAUUGUGUCCACAUGCUAAAUACUGUUUUCUCCCUUUCAGCAAUAUAACAAGGAAUGGACAGAGGAGUUGACUAUGGAUAAUGACUGAUACUGGAAUAAAGGAACCUAUAUGCAGUGUCAAAUGAUUCCAUGCCUGACAGUCCAUUUUUAUAUGUACAUAAAAUGUAUGUUGACAGCCAAUGGUAAGUAUUAAUCUUCAUCAUACAUGUACAAAUGUAUAUACAAUGAUUGUAUGUGCAUCUCUGACACUUACAUUUUGCUGUUGUGUGGCUUCAUUUCUGACCAGAGACUGAUAAUAAUUAGAUUAUCCUUUAUUUUAUCUUCAAAUAUUAUGUACUACACACCUACUUUUGCAUAGGUACUAUAUCUGUACUAAAAUAUGUAGUACUGGAAAUUUACUUUAAUUAGUAUUUAUGCAAAAGUAGCUGUGUAGUAACUACAUAGAUGUACUUAAUGACUUGCAUUCAUUUAACUUGCAAUAAUUAUGAUGCAGCAUCCAACAAAAAGUGAGCUUUUCUCAUCACUUGGCGUCCGUCGUCUGUAAACUUUUACAAAAAUCUUCUCCUCUGAAACUACUGGGCCAAAUUUAACCAAACUUGACCACAAUUAUCAUUGGGGUAUCUAGUUUAAAAAAUGUGUCCAAUGACCCAGCCAACCAACCAAGAUGGCCACCAUGGCUAAAAAUAGAACAUGGGGGUAAAAUGUAGAUUUUGGCUGAUAUCUCUGAAUCCAAAGCCUUUAGAGCAAAUCUGACAUGAGGUAAGUUUGUUUAUAAGGUUAAGAUCUAUCUGCCCUGAAAUUUUCAGAUGAAUCGGACAACUGGUUGUUUGGUUGCUGCCCCUAAAUUGGUAAUUUUGAGGAAAUUUUGCCAUUUUUGGUUAUUAUUUUGAAUAUUAUUAUAUAGUGAUAAACUGUAAACAGCAAUAAUGUUCAGCAAAGUAAGAUAUACAAAUAAGUCAACAUGACAAAAAUGACCAUCAAUUGACUCCUUAAGGAGUUAUUGCCCUUUAUAGUCAAUUUUUAACAAUUUACAUUAAUUUGGUAAACUUGUGUAAAUUUUUUAAAAAUAUUUUCCUCUGUAACUAAACAUUGCUAAGAGCCAAGUUUAUUAUGAAUAGAGAAAAUUGUAAGUAGCAAGAAUGUUCAGUAAAGUACAUGUAAGAUCUACAAACACAUUACAAUCACCAAAACACAAUUUUGUCAUCAAUCCAUCUGUGUCCUUUGUUUAAUAUGCACAUAGACCAAGGUGAGCGACACAGGCUCUUAAGAGCCUCUAGUUACCUUGUAUGCUGACUAUUAAGGGCUUUGCACAUUUGUGAAGGCUGUACGGUGACCUAUAGUUGUUAAUGUCUGUGUCAUUUUGGUCUCUUGUGGACAGUUGUCUCAUUGGCAAUCAUACCACAUCUUCUUUUUUAUACUUAAUGAUGAUUGUGUACAUGUACAUGUAUAUCUAUGAAUUCUGUCAGAUUGUGGUAUUAAAAAAGUUUUGAGUGUUUAGCACAUAUAUAUAGAAUGUCAUUGGAGUUUAGAUUAAUUUGAUUUCUGAUAAUGGCAGAGUGUUUUGAAUAUUAAUGACAUUACUUCAUAGUGCUGAUCAGAUUACCUUUAAUUGAUUACAGGUAUAUACAAUGUACAUGUACAUGUUCACUGCUACUUUUGCAGGUACUAUUUCUGUUCUAAAAAAUUAUAGUACUGGACAUUCUGUACAUGUAUUUUACAGUACUUGUCUAUUUCAAAUUUCUUAAAGUAAUGAUUUUCCAACAUGGAAUAUUGUGAUCACUGUGGGUAUUAUUUCUAUACCAAAUUUUAUUAUUUCUAUACCAAUUAUUUUAGUACAAAAAUACAGUACCUAAAAUUACAAUAAUUUUAAAGUUACAAAAUAGUACUGAAUAUUAAAAGUGGAUUUCCAGUAAUACAUAUUUUUGGUACAGUCUCAGAAAUAGUACCUAGCAGUCUAUGCAAAAGUAGAGGUGUACAUUUUUUAUGCCCACUUCCUACGAUAGUAGAGGGGCAUUAUGUUUUUCUGGUUAUCUGUGCUCCGUUCGUCCGUCCGUCUGUGGUUUUCCGUUCGUCCGUCCAGGUUAAAGUUUUUGGUCAAGUGUAGUUUUGAUGAAGCUGAAAGUCCAAAUCAACUUGAAACUUAGUACACUUGUUGCUUAUAGAUGAUCUUCUAAUUUUUAAGCCAAUUAGACUUUUGACCCCAAUUCACGGUCCACUGAACAUAGAAAAUGAAAGUGGGAGUUUCAGGUUAAAGUUUUGGUCAAGUAGUUUUUGAUGAAGCUGAAGUCCAAUCAACUUGAAACUUAGUACCUUGUUGCUUAUGAUAUAUCUUUCUAAUUUUAAUGUUAGAUAAUUACCCAAUUUCACGCUCCAUGGAUGGAUAGUGCGAGUGCAUCCGUGUAUUUUUGUAUAUGAAUAGAAUUUAAUUGUUGAAGAUUGAAAAUUUUUAGUAAAUUAAAAAUAAGGAGAUGUGGUAGGAUUGCCAAUAAUUAUAUAAGAAAAUGAUCAUGAUCAGCCACGUUCAACAUGAAGGGGAUGCACGCACUUUUAGGCCACUUUUAUUAUGACCUUCAACAAUGAACAGAACAAUACAGCUGUUAAUGAUCCUGACAAAAUGUGCAACAGUUCAAUCUAGAAAACGAGUACUAGUCAUUUUGCUAGUGAUGUUCACUUAUUGGUUGUAAAAAAAAAUCAAUUGUUUUCUCUGUUAACGUUGCAGUCUGUGCCAAACUGACUAGGGUUUGUCUGACCGAAAGAGAAAUUUGAUUUUUUUUUCUCUAUUAUGUCUGUAUGUCAACCAAAAAAUCUAAAAAUUUCUGUGAGUGUCUGACCUAAUUAUCCGAUUCACUGCUCUUGGCAAAUAUUUUUUUACAACAGUUGGUUGUGUGAAUUUGACAUAUAUCUAAGGUAAAUGAAUUUUCAGUUGUAUUCCUAUUUUUUUAUUUGGAAAACAUUUAUCAGGUUCAGGGCUUAUAUAUUUAUAAUAAUUAAUCAUGUUAAUGGAAUUUAAAUUUUCAGAAUUACAUAUUUGUAGCUCCCAAGAUGUAAGUGGAAGUGAAGCUAUACAAUUAAAUGAAUGAAUUGAUUAGAUAUACAUGUAGAGAAGACCCUAGAUCAACAGUACAUGUAACUUAAACUGGUAUGUAUUUGUUACAGUAUUUGUAGUCAAAAUGGUAUAUAACAAAGAUGCAGAAUCCUGUCAUGCCUGUGCAAAUUUAAAAAGGAGUCGACACAAACUGACAAAAUAAAAAAAAUACUAUCAAUCAACAGAUCAAUGGUAAAAGUUAAUCUGCUAUAUACAUGUAUGGAAUAGGCAUUUAGUUACCAUUUUUCAGUCCAUAUAAAUUUAUGAGAAUAUAAUUUUAUUAUCUGUAUUUCCUAGGAUUUCAAUUCUUAUUUCAUAUUGAUAUUCCCAUGUAUUAUGCUUGUUGUUUGAGGAAAAUUAUCAAAAGAGCUUGACCAAGAUUAAACAAUUACUGGUAUCAUGAAUCAUGCCAUUUUUGUCUUGUCUGCAACUGAUUGUAUAGUGUACAUGUCUGUCUGGGCAGGGUUCAUCUUACCAUGACCUGAUAUUCAUGGUUCAUUGGUCAAUAAUAAGUUUCAUAUUUUGGUCUGUUUGUUGUAUACUAUAUACAAGCUAUAAUUAAUUAAGAGAUCAACUAUAUUUGGUGUAGGUAAUGAUUGCAAGGUGCACAUGUCUGUCUGGCUUGGUUUUUCUGACCUUGAACUUGGUAUUAUUUGCUUGACAGUAUUUGUUUUAUGGGUCAUGAUUGGUUAUGUUAACUGGGUAAAUAAUAAUCACCAUCAAAUCACCAAUUGAUCAUGUCAAAGCUUAAAAUACAAUACAGUUAUCUCCUUUUAUAAGUUUGAUAAAUCAUUGGAGAUUAAACAUGUUAAAUUGAUGUAAUCUUUUUUUGCUUGACUACAAAUACAAACAUGCUGAUUUUGUUAUAUUACAGGAACUGUAGGAAGUAUUCCAAGAGUCUGAUUGCUAAGUAUGCAUUACAGGAUUUUAUUAUUGGAGCAACAUCUUAGGAGGAUAAGUGCAAAUGUAUGAAGGAAUCCUUGGGAACAAAAAGCAAUUAUAUGCAGAAGAGGAGUCUUAAACAUUAUUAACAGAGUCAAAGUAGUGGUGUAUUCAAGAAGUGUAAACCAACUGGAAUUAACUAUUGUGUAUAUUUUUUCAACCUCAAGUACUUUCAGAAUUAUAAUACAAUUCAAAUUAUUGUGUCAACAUACAUGUUACAGUAAAAAAUGAAAAUGUUUUAAAAUGAAUUUUAUAUAAAAAAA